Molecule: ribosomal RNA, 277 nt
Filed under: uncultured bacterium
Lineage: Bacteria
Description: partial 16S ribosomal RNA
Rfam family: Bacterial small subunit ribosomal RNA
Source: RNAcentral
AAUCAACGCUGGCGGCGCGCCUAACACAUGCAAGUCGAACGAGAAAGCCGCAAGGCAAGUAAAGUGGCGUACGGGUGAGUAACACGUGGAUGAUCUACCCUCUAGUGGGGAAUACCGUUGGGAAACCGACGACAAUACCGCAUAAGCUCGAGAGAGGAAAGCAGCAAUGCGCUGGAGGAGGAGUCCGCGGUCGAUUAGGUAGUUGGCAGGGUAAAAGCCUACCAAGCCUGUGAUCGAUAGCCGGCCUGAGAGGGCACACGGCCACACUGGCACUGAA